Macaca mulatta (Rhesus monkey) is the source of this 1333-nucleotide non-coding RNA. The record is from RefSeq and is a predicted model, not a curated record. NCBI's taxonomy places the organism in Eukaryota, Metazoa, Chordata, Mammalia, Primates, Cercopithecidae.
ACUGGGGGCUACAUGAGGGGCCCUGAUUCCUGAGGAGACUGAUCUAGAGGCUGUGGUCACUAAAGGACUUGAGCGGGGGGCUCUGGUGACUGAAGCCUGAAUGAGGGGCUCUGGUCAGUGGGGGCUUAAGGGAAAGGCCACUUCUGUUAUUUCUGAACUGAGGUGGGGAGGGCUUCUCAGUGCUCCCUGUCAGCCCAGCAUUCUCCUGUGCCCUCCCAACCUGACCAGCAUGGCUCGCAAUAGCCAGAAGAUGGCACUGUGGCCUCGCAUGAUGAGAAGUGGGCAGGCUGCAGGCAGUCCUUGGGGUGAAUAAGCUCAGCAGAGACAAGCUCAGGUGCUGCCUCCAGCAGCUUUGGGAGCUGCAAGAAUUUGGGAGGGGGUGUGGUAAGACAGACCUUGAUCAAACUCUCUGGGGUGAUGGCCCAAAGCAGACCCGCUGGAAGCAGAGAAUGCUGUGCCAUGGGUUAGAAGGCCUCAGUGUCUUCCAUACCUCAGAAGGCAGGACGGGCUUGGUCAAUAGCUCCAGAGCUCAGAACAAACUUUAAUGCAAAUGUGGCCCAACAUACCCAGAUACACUUUCACUCCAGGAUGAAUGCAGCUGUCCCUGUCACACCACAGAUCCAAGACAAAUUAAGAUGUACCCUGAACAUUAAGCUGUCAUUUCCCGGCACUCUCAGUAUUCCAGAAGGAAUUAAGAGUCUGCACUCUGGCACAGUCAGAACUUGUCAUAGCCCAGAACUCAAUACCUCACUCAUAGGGUGUGGCCACAUUCCAGAACCAUGUCACAGUCCAGGGCCUUGUCAUACCCCAGAUAUAGACACAGAGUGGGGCUCUGGCAUCCCUCAAAUAAUGGCACGUCCCAGGAACCUCCAUGUACAGAACAACCCAGGGCCUGUCCUGUCAAUCUUUAUAUGCUGGCACUUCCCAGGGGCUUGUGACAGCCCCUGCUUGGCCCUGAGCUGUGAUAGCAUCUGAGAGGAUAAGAAAUACCACACACACGGAUCAGAUGCCUCCAAGCUGAAGAAGCCAGGCCCUGUUGACAGAAGAGAAGACUCAAGCCUGAUGUGCAGACAGCUCUGCAUGGGACACAGCCACCAGAUAGAAAUGGCCAGAGGGAAGGGGAGCCCAACUUCCAUACUGCCUGGAAUAACACAUAUCCUGGGGACAGGUUUACACUGAUUUCUGGGUGGUGUCUGGUGAUUUUGUCAGACUGCGAAGAGCUAAUGCAAGGCAUAUAUUGGAGUUAAUCACUUUUGUGAGCAACUGAGCUCUAUCUGUUGGAUCUUCUGAGAAUAAGUGUAAGAUGUUCCAUUUAUUUAUUUAUUUAUUUAUU